This is a long non-coding RNA of Xiphophorus hellerii (green swordtail), 1986 nucleotides long. RefSeq lists it as uncharacterized. The transcript is spliced from 3 exons. NCBI's taxonomy places the organism in Eukaryota, Metazoa, Chordata, Actinopteri, Cyprinodontiformes, Poeciliidae. The record is from RefSeq and is a predicted model, not a curated record.
UUCCUUGGAAGACAGAGACUUUAGAUUUCACAGGUAUCUGUGAGAUUGUAUCUCAGGUCGUUCUGUACUCAGAAUGACCGUGGGAGCCACGGGGGGUCAGAGCGCAGCGGUUUGCUUCUUUGUCUCGCUAGAAGACAGAUGGCCCUUUGAUCUUUGCGUAGAUCAGGGGGAGUUCCAAGUUUCUCUGAAUGCUUAAGGGAGUUUCCAGUUGGUCAACAGGAGGAACGCCUUGAGUGCAUAAAUUAAAUAGAGAAACACCUCUUUAGUAUAAGAUUACGUGUCAGGAGAGAAAAUGCAGAGAGCGGCCACCAUUUUGCCUUUUUGCAUCGGCUCUCUCCAAAGACGCGUCUUUGCUUUUUGUUUGUCUUUGUUUUGUGUUUGUUUGUCUUCCCCUUGUCUGUCUUUAUUUUUAUGAGAAAAAUGCAUAUCUCUGUUCCUCUGCAGUUUUGUUGUUGAUUGCUUUGUAUGAGAUUAAACUCUGUGAUUUGUGACGUCAACACGCUUUGUUGUUGUUUUCACUUUAGCAGCACGCCGCCACUCGCUGAGGAUCCGGGACAGUAAAGAGGAAAGAGCCAAACGUUUUGUCCAAAGUUAACAUUAAAUUAUCCUCUUUUUUAACAACACCCACGCACAUCCUGACUCUGGGUGAAUGUUCCUGUGGAAUGUGAUCGAAGUGAAGAAUCUGCAUUCUGGAUGUUUAGAUGGACAGACGCUCUGCUUCUUUUACAGGUAAAUGAAGCAGGGAACUGUGGCAGCUUUCAACAAACUGGAACAUUUGUAUCUGUUUAUUCUGCCUCAGAUCUCUCAGAGGGAGGGGUAACACACAAACAUAGAAAGAGUUCAAAAAUGUUGGGUGCUGAAAGAAAUUAUAGUGAAAAGACCUUUGGUGGAAUGAAAAGGUCUUCCACAGCCACUCCCCGACAGUAGACAGUGAGCAUUAAAGUGGCCAAAAAGCAAAAUCAAUACACCCAUUCGCUCUGAUUUUCCCAAGUGUAUGCCUAACCACGUUAGCUGAAGGCGAUAUGAGGGUAUUAAGUGUAUGCAACCGUCCGCUGCUCCCUCUUUGGUCAUGCAGACAGAGAAGUGUGGCCUGUGAUAAAUUUAAUAAAUUAAUAAAAACUUCCCUCCUGCCUGCCACAAGCUGUUCCCAAAGGAUCUUUUCACAGUGAGAUUAACCUCAGCUUCCUCACACACUGGCUCCUUCCCGUGUUGUUCUUCAGCGUUCAGGCUGCUGCUCUCCUUUGUGUUUUUUUCACUGAGUAUUUAGACGUUUGAAGCUACCAUUCCAGACUUUUCUUUAUUUUCUAUCAAAAUAAAGAAAUGUCUAAAAUGAACCGGGCAGUUCAUUUUAGACAUAGUGUGGCACUGAAUGGACAUGCUGUUGUUUCUGUUCUGUUUUGCUGUAGUUAACUUAUUCAAGAUUAAAUGUAUCCUCCCAAAAUGGGCUUCCACACAGGAUUUGUCUGUGGUGACAUGGCAUAAGGCAGCUGACCUGAGUUCUUCUAAAUGUAUUUAUUUUUUAUUUUUUGCAUUGUGAGCUGAUGCAGCAGAACAUUACAUCCAUAUAGAGCUAAAACGAUUAAUUGGACAAACUAAUUUGUAAAAUGAUUGCAAUUUAGUAAUUGAUUAAUUGUUACAGGCAUUUAAUCCCUAUGCAGACUCAAUAACGGAUAUUUGCUGACAGAAAAACAUUAUCAAAGCAGUAUUAUUAAGCCAAAAAACCUUUGUCUUUAAAUCUGUUCCACCCAAAACUCCCAGAGUGUCACAGUUUUGGUUCAAAGUGGUGAUUUAAACCACUUUUAGACUGGUUCAAAUCCAGUCUGAAAGUCUUCUGUGAAGCUUUUUUUGCUAUCCAGUUAUUAAUUGGUUAAUCCUAAAUUGGUCAACAUUUCAGCCCUACAAUGUAUUGAAGCACAAACUUUUCAAAUGUUGAUGAUACAAAUAUUUUUUAGCUGCAGAUGCAUCAUUUGCUACAAAUAAUUACGU